Molecule: long non-coding RNA, 259 nt
Filed under: Lathyrus oleraceus (garden pea)
Lineage: Eukaryota; Viridiplantae; Streptophyta; Magnoliopsida; Fabales; Fabaceae
Description: Pisum sativum (pea) long non-coding RNA (PSAT_LNC032585)
Source: RNAcentral
AGAAUUCUUAAUAUCAAAGUUAGCAGGGUCUAUCGGUACAAACCCUCUAGAAACAUGUUCUUCAUCAAUCCGUUUAUAGUAACCCCCCAUAGUGAGGGGUGUUGUGCCAUGUUAUCCUCUUCUUCGGAAUGUGAAGAAAGUAUUGGUGGAUCUACUUCUGGUUGGUCCCCUUCAGCCAGAAUUGCUUCUCUAGAUGUUUUUCUUAGAGCACGUGCAAUUCUUUCAAUUUCUUAAUCAAAUGGUAGUAAUGACGAUCUUG